AGUGAACGCUGGCGGUAGGCCUAACACAUGCAAGUCGAACGGCAGCACAGUAAGAGCCUGCUCUUACGGGUGGCGAGUGGCGGACGGGUGAGGAAUACAUCGGAAUCUACUUUUUCGUGGGGGAUAACGUAGGGAAACUUACGCUAAUACCGCAUACGACCUACGGGUGAAAGCAGGGGAUCUUCGGACCUUGCGCGAUUGAAUGAGCCGAUGUCGGAUUAGCUAGUUGGCGGGGUAAAGGCCCACCAAGGCGACGAUCCGUAGCUGGUCUGAGAGGAUGAUCAGCCACACUGGAACUGAGACCCGGUCCAGACUCCUACGGGAGGCAGCAGUGGGGAAUAUUGGACAAUGGGCGCAAGCCUGAUCCAGCCAUACCGCGUGGGUGAAGAAGGCCUUCGGGUUGUAAAGCCCUUUUGUUGGGAAAGAAAAGCAGCAGGUUAAUACCCCGCUGUUCUGACGGUACCCAAAGAAUAAGCACCGGCUAACUUCG
This 490-nucleotide ribosomal RNA is filed under the name uncultured bacterium. RNAcentral describes it as "partial 16S ribosomal RNA". It matches the Rfam family "Bacterial small subunit ribosomal RNA", at positions 29 to 505 of the family's 1533-position model. The record is from RNAcentral.